UAAGAUAGUACUUUUCCACUAAGGCCAA
Molecule: non-coding RNA, 28 nt
Filed under: Mus musculus (house mouse)
Lineage: Eukaryota; Metazoa; Chordata; Mammalia; Rodentia; Muridae
Source: RNAcentral